RNAcentral lists this ribosomal RNA (253 nucleotides) under uncultured bacterium. RNAcentral describes it as "partial 16S ribosomal RNA". It matches the Rfam family "Bacterial small subunit ribosomal RNA", at positions 524 to 776 of the family's 1533-position model. The record is from RNAcentral.
UACAGGGGGUGCAAACGUUGCUCGGAAUCAUUGGGCGUAAAGCGCACGUAGGCGGUCCGUUAUGUCGGAUGUGAAAGCCCUUGGCUUAACUGAGGAAGUGCAUCCGAAACUGGCAGGCUAGAGUACUAAAGAGGGUCGCGGAAUUCCCGGUGUAGAGGUGAAAUUCGUAGAUAUCGGGAGGAACACUGGUGGCGAAGGCGGCGACCUGGGUAGAUACUGACGCUGAGGCGCGAAAGCGUGGGGAGCAAACAGG